Molecule: small nuclear RNA, 107 nt
Organism: Mustela putorius furo (domestic ferret)
Lineage: Eukaryota; Metazoa; Chordata; Mammalia; Carnivora; Mustelidae
Source: Ensembl
GUGCUCGCUUCGGCAGCACGCACACUGAAACUGGAACGGUGCAGAGAAGGUUAGUGUGGUCCUCAUGCAAGGGUGACACAUAAAAGUUAGAAAACAAUAGGAAAUUA